CACAGAUGAGGAUACAGUUAAAAGGUACUAUGCCAAGUUUGAGGAGAAGUUCUUCCAGACGUGUGAAAAAGAGUUGGCCAAGAUCAACACCUUCUACUCUGAAAAGCUUGCUGAGGCCCAGCGGCGGUUUGCCACGCUGCAGAACGAGCUGCAGUCAUCGCUGGAUGCUCAGAGGGAGAGCUGGGCCAACGGUCGGGGGCUGAGGAAGAGGAAGACGGUGUUCGCCCUGUCGCAGCAGGAGCGCUGCAAACACAGGAACAUAAAGGACCUGCAGCUGGCCUUCUCCGAGUUUUACCUCAGCCUCAUUCUGCUGCAGAACUAUCAGAACCUGAACUUCACAGGUUUCAGGAAAAUCCUGAAGAAGCAUGAUAAGAUUUUGGAGACUUCCAGAGGGGCCGACUGGAGGGUAGUCCAUGUUGAAGUGGCUCCAUUUUACACAUGCAAGAAAAUCACACAGCUUAUCUCUGAGACU
Notothenia coriiceps (black rockcod) is the source of this 472-nucleotide long non-coding RNA. RefSeq lists it as uncharacterized. The record is from RefSeq and is a predicted model, not a curated record. Lineage: Eukaryota; Metazoa; Chordata; Actinopteri; Perciformes; Nototheniidae. The transcript is spliced from 3 exons.